GGAACAAACCCAAAGAUCAUUAUAGAGGGCACAGAUGGCUCAGGAGGGCUCAGACUACUGUGUGAAAUUAAAGGCUGGAGGUCUGAACCUGAGCUGCAGUGGUUCAGUGGAGGAGCACAACUGCCUGCAGGAGAUAAAGAAUCACACAGAGACGAUGAGGUCUACACUGUUAGACGCCACGUCACUGCACAAGGCAGUGGAACCUUUGUCUGCAGAGUCAAACAGUAUCCCAAGAUGGAGGCAGAGAUCACUGUCGCUGCACAAGGAUAAAAGGAUUCCCUCCACCAUGGCGGUUCCCAUGGCGACCACACUGUGUUGUUUGGGUCUCUCUCCUCUUUUCUCUUGUGUUCAUACUGUAACAUGCUCUCAUACUCAUAUCUGCAUUAACAAACAGUUCAAUGGGUGUACCUAAUAAAGAGCCCUUUGAGUGUAUAAUCUGUACUCCUAAAGUGCCCCCUAGUGGCACUUCCUUUGUAAGUGAUCUGACAUUUCUUUUUGUGGAUUAAUGCUGACGUGAUGCCACCUAAUGUGUCAGUACUGUGAGACUUUGGUUGUUUCCACAAAUCUAGUUUUCACAAAACUUCA
This is a non-coding RNA of Electrophorus electricus (electric eel), 585 nucleotides long. NCBI's taxonomy places the organism in Eukaryota, Metazoa, Chordata, Actinopteri, Gymnotiformes, Gymnotidae. The record is from RefSeq and is a predicted model, not a curated record.